AUGGUUGCUCAGCAAUACUGUAUUUGUGGUUUCAUUUUGGGCAAGUUUUGGAUAGCAAAUAUAGUAACAAGGUUGUUUGCAGACUGGUUUUUAUGCAGGUUUAAGGACUGUAAUGCAGGGUUUUUGGACAGCAGACAAAAGACAAUUUUGGGGUUGUUUUUGGCAUAUUGCAGCAGCAGAAUUUGGAGUGUAGUAUCAUGGAAAGAUGGAAUAUCCAAAGACUCAACCAAAGACUCUGACAACACAGUAUAUGCCAAAGGUUUUGCUUGUGCAGCGACCGGGUGUGGCGUAGGUUAUAGCGUUUGA
Non-coding RNA from Vicia faba (fava bean), 306 nucleotides. Lineage: Eukaryota; Viridiplantae; Streptophyta; Magnoliopsida; Fabales; Fabaceae. The record is from the annotation of a GenBank genome assembly.